GAUGAACGCUGGCGGCGUGCCUAAUACAUGCAAGUCGAGCGAACAGACGAGGAACUUGCUCCUUUGACGUUAGCGGCGCGGGGGUGAGAAAAAUGUGUAUAACCCACCUAUAUGACUGGGAAAACCUCGGGAAACCGGAGCUUAUACCGGAUAAUCUACUGAACCGCAUGGUGGAGUAGUGAAAGACGGCUUUGCUGUCACUGAUAGCAGGAUCCGGGCCGCAUUAGCUAGUUGGUAAGGUAACGGCUUACCAAGGCAACGAUGCGUAGCCGACCUGAGAGGAUGAUCGGCCACACUGGAACUGAGACACGGUCCAGACUCCUACGGGAGGCAGCAGUGGGGAAUCUUCCGCAAUGGGCGAAAGCCUGACGCAGCAACGCCGCGUGUGUGAUGAAGGCCUUCGGAUCGUAAAGCUCUGUUAUUGGGGAAGAACAGAUUUGUAAGUAACUAUGCACGUAUUGACGUUACCUGAUCAAGAAGCACCGGCUAACUACGUG
This 497-nucleotide ribosomal RNA is filed under the name uncultured bacterium. Its description in RNAcentral is "partial 16S ribosomal RNA". It matches the Rfam family "Bacterial small subunit ribosomal RNA", at positions 28 to 507 of the family's 1533-position model. The record is from RNAcentral.